RNAcentral lists this ribosomal RNA (440 nucleotides) under uncultured bacterium. RNAcentral's name for it is "bacterial SSU rRNA". It matches the Rfam family "Bacterial small subunit ribosomal RNA", at positions 338 to 795 of the family's 1533-position model. The record is from RNAcentral.
CCUACGGGUUGCAGCAGUGGGGAAUAUUGGACAAUGGGCGAAAGCCUGAUCCAGCAAUGCCGCGUGUGUGAAGAAGGUCUUCGGAUUGUAAAGCACUUUCGACGGAGACGAUGAUGACGGUACCCGUAGAAGAAGCCCCGGCUAACUUCGUGCCAGCAGCCGCGGUAAUACGGAGGGUGCAAGCGUUAAUCGGAAUUACUGGGCGUAAAGCGCACGCAGGCGGUUUGUUAAGUCAGAUGUGAAAUCCCCGGGCUUAACCUGGGAACUGCAUUUGAGACGCAUAGACUAGAGGUCGAGAGAGGGUUGUGGAAUUCCCAGUGUAGAGGUGAAAUUCGUAGAUAUUGGGAAGAACACCGGUGGCGAAGGCGGCAACCUGGCUCGAUACUGACGCUGAGGCGCGAAAGCGUGGGGAGCAAACAGGAUUAGAUACCCUUGUAGUC